Talpa occidentalis (Iberian mole) is the source of this 114-nucleotide small nucleolar RNA. The record is from RefSeq and is a predicted model, not a curated record. Lineage: Eukaryota; Metazoa; Chordata; Mammalia; Eulipotyphla; Talpidae.
CCCCUAUGAUGAGUUGCCAUGCUAAUAUUGAGCCUCUCUAGGUAGGUAUUUUUUUUACACUGCUCUGGGUGCUGUUGAGAUAAAUUGUAUUUCUCUUAAAUCUACCUGAGGGGC